This 878-nucleotide ribosomal RNA is filed under the name Rothia mucilaginosa. Its description in RNAcentral is "bacterial SSU rRNA". It matches the Rfam family "Bacterial small subunit ribosomal RNA", at positions 96 to 980 of the family's 1533-position model. The record is from RNAcentral. Lineage: Bacteria; Bacillati; Actinomycetota; Actinomycetes; Micrococcales; Micrococcaceae.
UGGCGAACGGGUGAGUAAUACGUGAGUAACCUACCUUUAACUCUGGGAUAAGCCUGGGAAACUGGGUCUAAUACCGGAUACGACCAAUCUCCGCAUGGGGUGUUGGUGGAAAGCGUUAUGUAGUGGUUAUAGAUGGGCUCACGGCCUAUCAGCUUGUUGGUGAGGUAACGGCUCACCAAGGCGACGACGGGUAGCCGGCCUGAGAGGGUGACCGGCCACACUGGGACUGAGACACGGCCCAGACUCCUACGGGAGGCAGCAGUGGGGAAUAUUGCACAAUGGGCGCAAGCCUGAUGCAGCGACGCCGCGUGAGGGAUGACGGCCUUCGGGUUGUAAACCUCUGUUAGCAGGGAAGAAGAGAGAUUGACGGUACCUGCAGAGAAAGCGCCGGCUAACUACGUGCCAGCAGCCGCGGUAAUACGUAGGGCGCGAGCGUUGUCCGGAAUUAUUGGGCGUAAAGAGCUUGUAGGCGGUUUGUCGCGUCUGCUGUGAAAGGCCGGGGCUUAACUCCGUGUAUUGCAGUGGGUACGGGCAGACUAGAGUGCAGUAGGGGAGACUGGAAUUCCUGGUGUAGCGGUGGAAUGCGCAGAUAUCAGGAGGAACACCGAUGGCGAAGGCAGGUCUCUGGGCUGUAACUGACGCUGAGAAGCGAAAGCAUGGGGAGCGAACAGGAUUAGAUACCCUGGUAGUCCAUGCCGUAAACGUUGGGCACUAGGUGUGGGGGACAUUCCACGUUUUCCGCGCCGUAGCUAACGCAUUAAGUGCCCCGCCUGGGGAGUACGGCCGCAAGGCUAAAACUCAAAGAAAUUGACGGGGGCCCGCACAAGCGGCGGAGCAUGCGGAUUAAUUCGAUGCAACGCGAAGAACCUUACCAAGGC